UACGUAGGGUGCAAGCGUUGUCCGGAAUUAUUGGGCGUAAAGAGCUCGUAGGCGGUCUGUCGCGUCUGCUGUGAAAACUCGGGGCUUAACCCCGGGCCUGCAGUGGGUACGGGCAGACUGGAGUACUGCAGGGGAGACUGGAAUUCCUGGUGUAGCGGUGGAAUGCGCAGAUAUCAGGAGGAACACCGAUGGCGAAGGCAGGUCUCUGGGCUGACACUGACGCUCAUGCACGAAAGCGUGGGGAGCAAACAGG
Molecule: ribosomal RNA, 253 nt
Filed under: uncultured bacterium
Lineage: Bacteria
Description: partial 16S ribosomal RNA
Rfam family: Bacterial small subunit ribosomal RNA
Source: RNAcentral